RNAcentral lists this ribosomal RNA (468 nucleotides) under uncultured bacterium. RNAcentral describes it as "partial 16S ribosomal RNA". It matches the Rfam family "Bacterial small subunit ribosomal RNA", at positions 28 to 507 of the family's 1533-position model. The record is from RNAcentral.
GACGAACGCUGGCGGCGUGCUUAACACAUGCAAGUCGAACGGAAAGGCCCUGCUUUUGUGGGGUGCUCGAUUGGCGAACGGGUGAGUAACACGUGAGUAACCUGCCCUUGACUUUGGGAUAACUUCAGGAAACUGGGGCUAAUAUCGGAUAGGAGCUCCUGCUGCAUGGUGGGGGUUGGAAAGUUUCGGCGGUUGGGGAUGGACUCGCGGCUUAUCAGCUUGUUUGUGGGGUAGGGGCUUACCAAGGCUUUGACGGGUAGCCGGCCUGAGAGGGUGACCGGCCACAUUGGGACUGAGAUACGGCCCAGACUCCUACGGGAGGCAGCAGUGGGGAAUAUUGCACAAUGGGCGGAAGCCUGAUGCAGCAACGCCGCGUGCGGAAUGACGGCCUUCGGGUUGUAAACCGCUUUCGCCUGUGACGAAGCGUGAGUGACGGUAAUGGGUAAAGAAGCCCCGGCUAACUACGUG